GAUGAACGCUGGCGGCGUGCCUAAUACAUGCAAGUCGAGCGAACGGACGAGAAGCUUGCUUCUCUGAUGUUAGCGGCGGACGGGUGAGUAACACGUGGAUAACCUACCUAUAAGACUGGGAUAACUUCGGGAAACCGGAGCUAAUACCGGAUAAUAUUUUGAACCGCAUGGUUCAAAAGUGAAAGACGGUCUUGCUGUCACUUAUAGAUGGAUCCGCGCUGCAUUAGCUAGUUGGUAAGGUAACGGCUUACCAAGGCAACGAUGCAUAGCCGACCUGAGAGGGUGACCGGCCAGACUGGAACUGAGACACGGUCCAGACUCCUACGGGAGGCAGCAGUAGGGAAUCUUCCGCAAUGGGCGAAAGCCUGACGGAGCAACGCCGCGUGAGUGAUGAAGGUCUUCGGAUCGUAAAACUCUGUUAGUAGGGAAGAACAUAUGUGUAAGUAACUGUGCACAUCUUGACGGUACCUAAUCAGAAAGCCACGGCUAACUACGUG
RNAcentral lists this ribosomal RNA (497 nucleotides) under uncultured bacterium. RNAcentral describes it as "partial 16S ribosomal RNA". It matches the Rfam family "Bacterial small subunit ribosomal RNA", at positions 28 to 507 of the family's 1533-position model. The record is from RNAcentral.